Molecule: ribosomal RNA, 253 nt
Filed under: uncultured bacterium
Lineage: Bacteria
Description: partial 16S ribosomal RNA
Rfam family: Bacterial small subunit ribosomal RNA
Source: RNAcentral
UACGUAGGGACCGAGCGUUGUCCGGAUUCAUUGGGCGUAAAGAGCUCGUAGGCGGCUGUUCAAGUCGAACGUGAAAACUCGGAGCUCAACUCCGAGCCUGCGUUCGAUACUGGACGGCUAGAGUCUGGUAGGGGGAUCUGGAAUUCCUGGUGUAGCGGUGGAAUGCGCAGAUAUCAGGAGGAACACCGGUGGCGAAGGCGGUUCUCUGGGCAUUACCUGACGCUGAGGAGCGAAAGCAUGGGGAGCAAACAGG